This 76-nucleotide transfer RNA is filed under the name Dehalococcoidia bacterium. Its description in RNAcentral is "tRNA-Gly". It matches the Rfam family "tRNA". Rfam says of the family: Transfer RNA (tRNA) molecules are approximately 80 nucleotides in length. Their secondary structure includes four short double-helical elements and three loops (D, anti-codon, and T loops). The record is from RNAcentral. RNAcentral also lists the same sequence under 4 other names. Lineage: Bacteria; Bacillati; Chloroflexota; Dehalococcoidia.
GCGGGUGUGGUCUAGUCUGGCAUGACUGUGGCUUCCCAAGCCACCAACCCGGGUUCAAAUCCCGGCACCCGCACCA